CAGCCGCCGCGGGAACACGAAGGGUGCAAGCGUUAAUCGGAAUUACUGGGCGUAAAGCGUGCGUAGGCGGUUUGUUAAGUCUGCUGUGAAAUCCCCGGGCUUAACCUGGGAACUGCGUUUGGGACUGGUUGGCUUGAGUUCGGGAGAGGAGAGUGGAAUUCCCAGUGUAGAGGUGAAAUUCGUAGAUAUUGGGAAGAACACCGGUGGCGAAGGCGGCUCUCUGGGCCGAUACUGACGCUGAGGCGCGAAAGCGUGGGGAGCAAACAGGAUUAGAGACCCGGGUAGUCCCUGUCUCUUAUAC
Molecule: ribosomal RNA, 301 nt
Filed under: uncultured bacterium
Lineage: Bacteria
Description: partial 16S ribosomal RNA
Rfam family: Bacterial small subunit ribosomal RNA
Source: RNAcentral